Molecule: ribosomal RNA, 254 nt
Filed under: uncultured bacterium
Lineage: Bacteria
Description: partial 16S ribosomal RNA
Rfam family: Bacterial small subunit ribosomal RNA
Source: RNAcentral
UACGGGGGGAGCAAGCGUUGUUCGGAUUUACUGGGCGUAAAGGGCGCGUAGGCGGCCAGCACAAGUCAGUUGUGAAAUCUCCGAGCUUAACUCGGAAAGGUCAACUGAUACUGUGCGGCUAGAGUGCGGAAGGGGCAACUGGAAUUCUUGGUGUAGCGGUGAAAUGCGUAGAUAUCAAGAGGAACACCUGCGGCGAAGGCGGGUUGCUGGGCCGACACUGACGCUGAGGCGCGAAAGCGUGGGGAUCAAACAGG